AUUGAACGCUGGCGGCAGGCCUAACACAUGCAAGUCGAGCGGGGUUUUCGGACCUAGCGGCGGACGGGUGAGUAAUGCGUAGGAAGCUGCCCGAUAGAGGGGGAUACCAGUUGGAAACGACUGUUAAUACCGCGUAAUGUCUACGGACCAAAGUGUGGGACCUUCGGGCCACAUGCUAUCGGAUGCGCCUACGUGGGAUU
Molecule: ribosomal RNA, 200 nt
Filed under: uncultured bacterium
Lineage: Bacteria
Description: partial 16S ribosomal RNA
Rfam family: Bacterial small subunit ribosomal RNA
Source: RNAcentral